UUUAAAUGUAAAAUAAAUAUACUAAAGUAGUAUUAGUUAUGUUCUUGAAAUUUAAAGAUUUUGGCGGUAUUUUAGUCUAUUUAGAGGAGCCUGUUCUGUAAUUGAUGAUCCACGAUUAAUUUUACUUAAUUUCUAUAAAUUUGUAUACCGUCGUUAUAAGAAGAUUUUAAAAGAAUAUAAAUUUUUAAUAUUUUAUAUAAAAAAAUAUAUCAGAUCAAGGUGCAGUUUAUAAUUAAGGAGAAAUGGGCUACAAUAAAUUUAUUUAUACGGAUUAAAAUAAGAAUAUGAUUUUAUGAAGGUGGAUUUAAUAGUAAUAAAGUUUAUUUAAAUUUUAUGAUUUUAGCUCUAAAAUAUG
This 355-nucleotide ribosomal RNA is filed under the name Carabus gracilicollis shatanensis. Its description in RNAcentral is "partial 12S ribosomal RNA". Lineage: Eukaryota; Metazoa; Arthropoda; Insecta; Coleoptera; Carabidae. The record is from RNAcentral.